This is a long non-coding RNA of Cyprinodon tularosa, 178 nucleotides long. RefSeq lists it as uncharacterized. The transcript is spliced from 3 exons. Lineage: Eukaryota; Metazoa; Chordata; Actinopteri; Cyprinodontiformes; Cyprinodontidae. The record is from RefSeq and is a predicted model, not a curated record.
CGGCAGUAGUAAGAUGGAGUACACUUUUAAAUGGAGCAGGGAGCAGACAGAGGAGUUGAUCAAACUCCGUGGGCAAAAUGACCACCUUUUUACCGGCGCCAAAAAUACUGCAGCAGUUGGUUGGAGAACAAUCCUGCAGAAAAUGGGCCUGGAGGGAAAAGUUGAGCCACAACAGGCC